Molecule: ribosomal RNA, 750 nt
Filed under: uncultured bacterium
Lineage: Bacteria
Description: bacterial SSU rRNA
Rfam family: Bacterial small subunit ribosomal RNA
Source: RNAcentral
GACGAACGCUGGCGGCGCGCCUAACACAUGCAAGUCGAACGGAGCUAUUCCGAUAGAUCCCUUCGGGGUGACAUUGGCUUAGCUUAGUGGCGAACGGGUGAGUAACACGUGAGGAACCUGCCCUUCAGAGGGGGACUACAGUUGGAAACGACUGCUAAUACCGCAUAAGACCACAGAGCCGCAUGGCUCAGGGGUCAAAGGAGAAAUCCGCUGAAGGAUGGCCUCGCGUCCGAUUAGCUAGAUGGCGGGGUAACGGCCCACCAUGGCGACGAUCGGUAGCCGGACUGAGAGGUUGAUCGGCCACAUUGGGACUGAGACACGGCCCAGACUCCUACGGGAGGCAGCAGUGGGGAAUAUUGCACAAUGGAGGAAACUCUGAUGCAGCGACGCCGCGUGAGGGAAGAAGAUCUUCGGAUUGUAAACCUCUGUCUUCGGGGACGAUAAUGACGGUACCCGAGGAGGAAGCCACGGCUAACUACGUGCCAGCAGCCGCGGUAAUACGUAGGUGGCAAGCGUUGUCCGGAAUUACUGGGUGUAAAGGGAGCGCAGGCGGGUUUGCAAGUUGGAUGUCUAAUCAAGGGGCUCAACCCCUUUCCGCAUUCAAAACUGCAGAUCUUGAGUGGUGCAGAGGUAGGCGGAAUUCCCGGUGUAGCGGUGGAAUGCGUAGAUAUCGGGAGGAACACCAGUGGCGAAGGCGGCCUACUGGGCACUAACUGACGCUGAGGCUCGAAAGCAUGGGUAGCAAACAGG